This 433-nucleotide ribosomal RNA is filed under the name uncultured bacterium. RNAcentral describes it as "partial 16S ribosomal RNA". It matches the Rfam family "Bacterial small subunit ribosomal RNA", at positions 29 to 507 of the family's 1533-position model. The record is from RNAcentral.
AACGAACGCUGGCGGCAGUCCUAACACAUGCAAGUCGAGCGCGCCCUUCGGUUUUAGUGGCGGACGGGUGAGUAACGCGUGGGAACGUGCCCUUUUCUACGGAAUAGCCUCGGGAAACUGAGAGUAAUACCGCAUACGCCCUCCGGGGGACAGAUUUAUCGGAAUAGGAUCGGCCCGCGUUGGAUUCGGUCGUUGGUUGGGUAAUGGCCUCCCAAGCCGACGAUCCAUAGCUGGUUUGAGUGGAUGAUCAGCCACACUGGGACUGAGACACGGCCCAGACUCCUACGGGAGGCAGCAGUGGGGGAUCUUAGACGAUGGGGGCAACCCUGAUCGAGCCAGGCCGGGUGAGUGAUGAAGGCCGUAGGGUUGUAAAGCUCUUUCAGCUGGGAAGAUAAUGACGGUACCAGCAGAAGAAGCCCCGGCUAACUCCGUG